CCGGGGGUCGUUAGGAGAAGAUGGGCCGUCACAUGUAUUGGCUGGCAUUUGCCUUCUGCACCCUCGCUCUUGCGUCCUCGAAGUACUGUCAAUUUAAAUGUGGACCAUCAGUUUGAAAAUAAUGCGGUCUGUGUGCUCUUCCGCUGUCUUAUCCAGAACACCUAUAUCAUCGCACACAAAAUUUUAAGUUCUGAGGACAAUGUUUGUGUGCACACUUGCAGAUAUAUACUCUUACCAGAACAACUUUCAUGAACAGUUUAUAAAUGAGUACUGCUGAAAUAAAGUCAAUGAGUUAUUAUAAUAGGGCUGAAUCAAACAUUCAUUUUGUCAGGAUCAAAAUCAUGAUUGUUUCUCCUUUGAUCUUGUAGAAUUCUAAACUGUAGCAGUAAUAGCAUCAAGUGGAUAUGAGGUAUAUAAUUCUUAAGAGUUUGUUUAAGUUUUUGUAUUGUAUUAAUGGAAUUUGCUUGUUUAAUGGACGAAUACAGUGUAUGGUUUACUAAUCUCGAUUGUCUAAAAGUAUUAUACUAUGAAAUCAUAAGUCUCACCAAGGUAGAUAGUUUUAGGUAACAAAGGAACUUUUUGUAUUUAGUGUAUGCUCGCCAUGCAAGAAGCUGUUACUUACUACGUGUCACCGGACUACAUGUUCUAGUAUGGUUCAAUAAAGAAUAAUGUUUCUAGUGAAUUCAUUAUUUAGAUUUCAGAAACUGUCUUCCACAUGCUAGCAUAUCCAAUUUGUACUCCUUUUCGUUGGAGAAAGUCUGCAAUCAGCAUUUCGCAACUUCCCUCCCCAGCCUAACUCCUCUACUUGCUAAUGAAUUGGGUAAAUGCACAUUGUAGGUAGUUCUUUGAAUAAACAGGAUUUAUCUUCA
This is a long non-coding RNA of Eriocheir sinensis (Chinese mitten crab), 869 nucleotides long. RefSeq lists it as uncharacterized. Lineage: Eukaryota; Metazoa; Arthropoda; Malacostraca; Decapoda; Varunidae. The record is from RefSeq and is a predicted model, not a curated record. The transcript has 2 exons.